RNAcentral lists this ribosomal RNA (459 nucleotides) under uncultured Kribbia sp. Its description in RNAcentral is "bacterial SSU rRNA". It matches the Rfam family "Bacterial small subunit ribosomal RNA", at positions 921 to 1382 of the family's 1533-position model. Lineage: Bacteria; Bacillati; Actinomycetota; Actinomycetes; Micrococcales; Intrasporangiaceae. The record is from RNAcentral.
CCGCACAAGCGGCGAGCAUGCGGAUUAAUUCGAUGCAACGCGAAGAACCUUACCAAGGCUUGACAUGCACCGGUAACGCCCAGAGAUGGGUGCCCCUUUGUGGUCGGUGGACAGGUGGUGCAUGGUUGUCGUCAGCUCGUGUCGUGAGAUGUUGGGUUAAGUCCCGCAACGAGCGCAACCCUCGUCCUAUGUUGCCAGCGGGUCAUGCCGGGGACUCAUGGGAGACUGCCGGGGUCAACUCGGAGGAAGGUGGGGAUGACGUCAAAUCAUCAUGCCCCUUAUGUCUUGGGCUUCACGCAUGCUACAAUGGCCGGUACAAAGGGCUGCGAUACCGCGAGGUGGAGCGAAUCCCAGAAAGCCGGUCUCAGUUCGGAUUGGGGUCUGCAACUCGACUUCAUGAAGGCGGAAUCGCUAGUAACCGCGAAUCAGCAGGUCGCGGUGAAUACGUUCCCGGGCCUU